RNAcentral lists this ribosomal RNA (480 nucleotides) under uncultured bacterium. Its description in RNAcentral is "bacterial SSU rRNA". It matches the Rfam family "Bacterial small subunit ribosomal RNA", at positions 28 to 527 of the family's 1533-position model. The record is from RNAcentral.
GACGAACGCUGGCGGCGUGCUUAACACAUGCAAGUCGAACGGAAAGGCCCAGCUUGCUGGGUACUCGAGUGGCGAACGGGUGAGUAACACGUGGGUGACCUGCCUCAUACUCUGGGAUAAGCCUGGGAAACUGGGUCUAAUACUGGAUAGGACCUUUUGUUGCAUGACUUUAGGUGGAAAGCUUUUGCGGUAUGAGAUGGGCCCGCGGCCUAUCAGCUUGUUGGUGAGGUAAUGGCUCACCAAGGCGACGAUCGGUAGCUGGUCUGAGAGGAUGAUCAGCCACACUGGGACUGAGACACGGCCCAGACUCCUACGGGAGGCAGCAGUGGGGAAUAUUGGACAAUGGGCGAAAGCCUGAUCCAGCCAUGCCGCGUGAGUGAUGAAGGCCCUAGGGUUGUAAAGCUCUUUCGCCAGGGACGAUAAUGACGGUACCUGGAUAAGAAGCCCCGGCUAACUCGUGCCAGCAGCCGCGGUAAUGUC